This 486-nucleotide ribosomal RNA is filed under the name uncultured bacterium. RNAcentral describes it as "partial 16S ribosomal RNA". It matches the Rfam family "Bacterial small subunit ribosomal RNA", at positions 30 to 507 of the family's 1533-position model. The record is from RNAcentral.
AUUGAACGCUGGCGGCAUGCCUUACACAUGCAAGUCGAACGGCAGCACGGGUGCUUGCACCUGGUGGCGAGUGGCGCACGGGUGAGUAAUACAUCGGAACAUGUCCUGUAGUGGGGGAUAGCCCGGCGAAAGCCGGAUUAAUACCGCAUACGCUCUACGGAUGAAAGCGGGGGACCUUCGGCCCUCGCGCUAUAGGGUUGGCCGAUGGCUGAUUAGCUAGUUGGUGGGGUAAAGGCCUACCAAGGCGACGAUCAGUAGCUGGUCUGAGAGGACGACCAGCCACACUGGGACUGAGACACGGCCCAGACUCCUACGGGAGGCAGCAGUGGGGAAUUUUGGACAAUGGGCGAAAGCCUGAUCCAGCAAUGCCGCGUGUGUGAAGAAGGCCUUCGGGUUGUAAAGCACUUUUGUCCGGAAAGAAAUCCUUGGCCCUAAUACGGUCGGGGGAUGACGGUACCGGAAGAAUAAGCACCGGCUAACUACGUG